RNAcentral lists this transfer RNA (77 nucleotides) under Nitrospinota bacterium. RNAcentral describes it as "tRNA-Arg". It matches the Rfam family "tRNA". Rfam says of the family: Transfer RNA (tRNA) molecules are approximately 80 nucleotides in length. Their secondary structure includes four short double-helical elements and three loops (D, anti-codon, and T loops). The record is from RNAcentral. Lineage: Bacteria; Pseudomonadati; Nitrospinota.
GCCCCCGUAGCUCAGUUGGAUAGAGCAACGGUUUCCUAAACCGGAGGUCGUGUGUUCAAGUCACGCCGGGGGCACCA